RNAcentral lists this long non-coding RNA (456 nucleotides) under Helianthus annuus (common sunflower). RNAcentral's name for it is "hypothetical non coding rna". The record is from RNAcentral. Lineage: Eukaryota; Viridiplantae; Streptophyta; Magnoliopsida; Asterales; Asteraceae.
GUGAGAGAGACGAGGACGAGAGAACGGAGCGACCGUGAUGGAAGAACCAGCUCCAAACGCCGUCGAGGAAGCGGUAACUUUUGUUUCGAUGUCACCAAACGCCGCUAACUGAACCAGACGUCUGAGAUGACGGCGGCGAGUUCUAGAGUCCUGAUCUGUCAAUUGGUCGCCGGUUGUAACUUCUCCAUGGAAUUUGGCUGGUUAACGGGGAUAAUCCGGUGGAUCUGGCGACUGAGUUGGGUUCUGGUGUUUUUUAGUGCUCAAGGUUGUUAGAUUGGGUCAUCAGACUACAGGAUAGGGAAAUCUUCCGGCGGUGAACACAUGCUAUUUGAAAUGCAAGUCAAUGAUGGGUGCGACUAAAUCAAAGGUACCUUGGUGCAAGAGAGUAACAAAGCAUGUGAUUUACGAACAGCUUGCUGAAGGUCAAAUGGGAUGGGUUACAAUGUUACAUUGACU